CUCUCCACCCUAUCUCUGAUACAUCUGAUUUCAAUCCAUCCAGUCAUGAGCUCUACUAGAUCCUUGUAGUUAGUCUUGUCUUUUGUCUUUUUCUAGGAUCUAUCUUUUGGGCCAUGUAAUGAUGUUGACUGAUUAACUUUUAUAUUUUGGUGUAUGUAUUGGAACCACUAUGUGGUAUCAGUCACUUUUUGAUUAUAUAUCUACUCCUUGACUUUUAAUGUAUGACCUUCAAAUUUAGUUGCUUUCAAUUAUGUGCAUGCUUAAGAUAUUAUGAAUUACUAUUUCAUAUCUAUGAUAUCCAAUGGUAUAUUCUUUUAUGAUUGCUGUAUUCAGGGGGAGUAAACAUUAAUGCUAGUAAAAUUAUUGUUAGUAAAAGAAGCUAAAGAAGUAAUAUUAGUAAAAUUAUUUCCAUCAAAAGAAAGAAAAAGAGAAAAUGUAUUCAAAGAAAAAGGGGGAGUAAACAAUCUUUUGUUGAUGAUGUCAAAAAGGGGGAGA
Molecule: long non-coding RNA, 495 nt
Filed under: Elaeis guineensis (African oil palm)
Lineage: Eukaryota; Viridiplantae; Streptophyta; Magnoliopsida; Arecales; Arecaceae
Description: long non-coding RNA (EGUI_LNC031641)
Source: RNAcentral